Molecule: ribosomal RNA, 253 nt
Filed under: uncultured bacterium
Lineage: Bacteria
Description: partial 16S ribosomal RNA
Rfam family: Bacterial small subunit ribosomal RNA
Source: RNAcentral
UACAGAGGUGGUAAGCGUUGUUCGGAAUUACUGGGCGUAAAGGGCUCGUAGGCGGCCAACUAAGUCAUACGUGAAAUCCCUCAGCUUAACUGGGGAACUGCGUGUGAUACUGGAUGGCUUGGAUUUGGGAGAGGGAUGCGGAAUUCCAGGCGUAGCGGUGAAAUGCGUAGAUAUCUGGAGGAACACCGGUGGCGAAGGCGGCAUCCUGGACCAAUAUUGACGCUGAGGAGCGAAAGCCAGGGGAGCAAACGGG